CGUGAGAAUGGAAUCGAAGUUAUGGACAAGAAUGGCAAGGUCAUAGGAGUGUCACAAAAAGCUGGGAAUAAGGCAGUACAAGACACAGCUUUAUCAAGAGCAGCCUUGUUUGGGGCAGCAGUAAUUAUUCCGGAUUCUCUUCUCAACUUCGUGCAACGGUAAGAGGUUCUACUACUGGGGUGUGUGGCUGUUAAGUUCUGGGGUGCAGCGCAGACCAGUGAGAGGUUGU
Molecule: long non-coding RNA, 229 nt
Filed under: Gopherus agassizii (Agassiz's desert tortoise)
Lineage: Eukaryota; Metazoa; Chordata; Testudines; Testudinidae
Description: lncRNA (ENSGAGG00000023125.1)
Source: RNAcentral